CCGAGUUUGCAACUCCCAAACCCAUGUGAACAUACCUACUGUUGCUUCGGCGGGAUUGCCCCGGGCGCCUCGUGUGCCCCGGAUCAGGCGCCCGCCCUAGGAAACUUAACUCUUGUUUUAUUUUGGAAUCUUCUGAGUAGUUUUUACAAAUAAAUAA
This 157-nucleotide unclassified non-coding RNA is filed under the name soil metagenome. Its description in RNAcentral is "partial internal transcribed spacer 1". The record is from RNAcentral.